GUGAAAAGUAACUCAGGAUUGAUUGACAGUAAAUGCAGAGAAUGCUUUAGGAAGGAAAUGAAAUGUCGUCUCCCGAAGAUGGAAGUGUUUAAAUUUUUCCUCCACUUUAGAGCUAGAAUCACUGUGAGUGGUAGCGUUUUAGAAUCAGAGAAGUAAAAAGGGAAAUUGCAUGAUUAUCAUUUGUGAUCUUAACAGGAAGUGAUCACAUUUUACCAAAGGCUCUUGCCAAAAGAAAGCCCCCGCUGGAAGGGGAGCCCUGUCUCUCCUUCUUCUAAAGAAGUACUCAGGGAGUACCUCUAUUUUUUUUCCCCUUCCUCUCUUCACUUUCUCCUUUCCUGUCCUUUUUGUUCUGCUGUCUCCUUCCUGUCCCUGUUUCCUCUCUGUGCUCUCCUCCCUUCCCCACCCUCUACCUACAGCUAGCUGAUGCUGAAGUUGGGCUCCAGAAGAAGUACCUCUCUGAUUUGAUGGCAUUAUGAGAGGUGCUUUUUGUACAUUGUCUAAUUGAGCUCUGGAAAGAGGAGAUGCCUGUAAAUCAUGGUAGGUGGCCUGGGGAGUCUUGAUUAGAGAGAGAGACAGAGAGAGAGAGACAGAGAGAGAGACCUGAGGUAAGACUUGAGAGGCACAUGGCAGUCUUACAGAGAUGCUGGAGUUGACUGGCUUGUUGGGAGGACUAAGGGUGACUCAUAUUCACAGAGUUGUAGAAUGAUGAUGGC
RNAcentral lists this long non-coding RNA (713 nucleotides) under Marmota monax (woodchuck). The record is from RNAcentral. Lineage: Eukaryota; Metazoa; Chordata; Mammalia; Rodentia; Sciuridae.